This 1921-nucleotide long non-coding RNA is filed under the name Sus scrofa (pig). RNAcentral describes it as "lncRNA (ENSSSCG00000052075.1)". The record is from RNAcentral. Lineage: Eukaryota; Metazoa; Chordata; Mammalia; Artiodactyla; Suidae.
UUUACAUUCCUGCAGCUCUGUCUUUCUCAGAAAGAAGAUGGGUGUGGGGAGGUGACCAUUCUAACAUACCCUCCCAUGAAGAGGGUAGAGCUCUGCCUGGACCAGGUGCAGGGUGGGCUGCAGCAUUUCUGAUAUGUAACACCCCAUCCAGGAAAAAGUGCAUUUAUUCACUUUUCUGACUGAGCAGGAAAUGAUAGGCUCCAAUGGAGGAGCUACUGGGGACUGUAGUUGUCCUAGAGGUGGGGGUAGGUUGUGGGUAGUGGAGAGGUGAGGAGGAAAAGAAGGGAGCAGGGAGGAGAGCAGGACCAGAGAUAGGAGGCUGCAGGAGGGGAACUCUUCUAGCUUCAGUUGGACUUCAUUCUCCUGGACUCCAAAUGGAAAAUAGAACUGAAAACCCAUGAUUAAAAAAUGCAAUACAUGCUAAGAAACUCUCAAGUAAUUUACACCAGGCAUUAAAAUGUUUUGCAUGAGAAUAUAGUAUGAUGUAGACAACCCAAGAAUUAUGUCUUUCAUUAAAAGGUUUGCAACUCAGUGUGCUGUGAUAUAACUAUAGCAGUUUUUCUGUCUUGGUGAUGGUUUUUUAUUUUAAACACUGCCUUACAAACCAGGGAAUGCAAGUGCAUCGGGAACACUCAGCCUCUGCAUUUUAACUUAUUGUCACCUCUUCCUAUACACUUCUCUUCGGCCCUUUACCUGCUAGUGCCAGGGUGAAAGGUGAAUAGUUAUACUGCCAUUGCCCCUCAACCCCAUGGAUCCUGAACCCUGCUAUAAAGUAAACUGUCAUUUCUUUCUUCAUUAUUCAAAGUUAGCAUUGGCUAGUUCAAAGCCCAUUGGAGAUUAUGUACCAGGAAUGAUCUACAUUAAGGUUGGGAUUAAAGGAAAAUCAGUUACAUGAAAGAAAGGUGUUUUUGCCACAAAUCUUGUGUGUGCAUGUCAAGAAGUAUAUUCAUUGCCUAAUUUGAAAAGAAACCAGGACAACUCCCCGAGAUAUAUACCUGCAUCUGGCCAGUCUUUCCAUAAAGACACUUUCUGUUUGAAGUUUGCCUGUGAAGUUAGAGGAAAAACAUUUCUCCCUGACAAGCACAUGCAGAGUAAUCAAAGAAUAAUAAAUAAACAAAUAAUGUUAGGUGUAAUUUCGAUUUUAGGUACUCAUGAGGGAUAAAAUCAAAAGUUGAUUUAUCCUGAACAUGUUUAGAUGGGGCAAGAAAGCUGCAUUUACAAGUAAGGCUGACAGAUUUAGGUUGGCUCUCAGGAGAGGUUGGAUGAACUUGCAAAAUCUCUUCUAAACCGAUGAUUGAAUAAAUUUAUCAAUUAUUCCCUGUUUUUCAUGAUCUUGCCAGCCUGAUUAGAGCAAUCAUUUGCUGAUUUGAUAUAAAUCUUGGUGACGCCAAUGUGAAUCAAGGGGCCCACAACGGGCUGGGCAUUAAAUUAGGUGCUUUUUAUGAAUCAUUCCAUUUAAUCCUCAAAUCAGUCCCUUGAUUCAGAUAUUAUAAGUUUCUACUGUGCAACAUCUUCUGCAGCAUAAUUUAUCACAUGGAGCAUACAUUAGACUAUUUUUAAAUCUGGCAACUGAGGUCUCAGAUCUGAUGCAAUGCCGAAUUUGAAAUUACUGAGAUUAUGUUCUGUGCAAUGUCUGAACACUGUGAGCUAAUACACAGAAAACAACAAAAAUUAAUAAUGCCUGGUAGUUCCUGUCAUGGCUCAGAGGUAAUGGACCUGACUAGUAUCCACAAGGACAUGGGCUCCAUCGCUGGCCUUGCUCAGUGGGUUAAGGAUCUGGCAUUGCCAUGAGCUGUGGUGUAGGUUGCAGAUGUGGCUUGGAUCUGGCGUUGCUAUGGCUGUGGUGUAGGCCAGCAGCUGUAGCUCCAAUUAGACCCCUAGCCUGGGAACUUCCAUGUGAGGCCUUAAAAAGUAAAACAAA